This 484-nucleotide ribosomal RNA is filed under the name uncultured bacterium. RNAcentral describes it as "partial 16S ribosomal RNA". It matches the Rfam family "Bacterial small subunit ribosomal RNA", at positions 29 to 507 of the family's 1533-position model. The record is from RNAcentral.
AUUGAACGCUGGCGGCAUGCUUUACACAUGCAAGUCGAACGGCAGCGCGGGCUUCGGCCUGGCGGCGAGUGGCGAACGGGUGAGUAAUACAUCGGAACGUGCCCAGUAGUGGGGGAUAGCUCGGCGAAAGCCGGAUUAAUACCGCAUACGACCUGAGGGUGAAAGCGGGGGAUCUUCGGACCUCGCGCUAUUGGAGCGGCCGAGGGCAGAUUAGCUAGUUGGUGGGGUAAAGGCCUACCAAGGCGACGAUCUGAAGCUGGUCUGAGAGGACGACCAGCCAGACUGGGACUGAGACACGGCCCAGACUCCUACGGGAGGAAGCAGUGGGGAAUUUUGGACAAUGGGCGAAAGCCUGAUCCAGCAAUGCCGCGUGUGUGAUGAAGGCCUUCGGGUUGUAAAGCACUUUUGGCGGGAACGAAAAGGACUGUGCCAAUACCACGGUUCGAUGACGGUACCCGCAGAAUAAGCACCGGCUAACUACGUG